RNAcentral lists this long non-coding RNA (903 nucleotides) under Pandoravirus quercus. RNAcentral's name for it is "hypothetical ncRNA". The record is from RNAcentral.
CGCGUGCCGAUCGUGACCUGAUCGACGCCAAAGGCUGAUCCCGUCGCGACAUAGUCGAGGGGAUCAAGGGGUCCGCCCAGGGCAAAGCGAUAGGCGUCGUGGUCGCAGCCGAAAUAGGUGCCUUCCACAGGCGUGCCGCUUUGGUCGCUCACGCCCUUGUGGCCCACCAGGACGCCGCCUACCUUGGCCACAGCAGCGGCAAUCUUGGCCGUCUGUUGAGGUCCGUCCUUGUCCUUGAAUGAAUUCAGACAGCCCGCAACGAUCCAGUCGCCGCCAUCGGGACGUGUAGCGAUCCACCGCGCCAGGGCGUCAAAAGAGGCAUCGCGGCUCGGCACGUGGAUGGGAAAGUGCGUGGCGGCGACGGUGAUCCUGCGCGGUGCCACCCAGAGCCGACCGCCAAGUUCUUCCGGGGCGCGCUCGACCAGCCUGACCACCAAAAGGUUGCACCCCCAGCCGGCCGGGUUGUGGCGGUCGGCAGGCAGCGUGCGGGCGUCGCGAUCGCCCUCGGGCUCGCCGAGCAGUUGCACAUUCUCGGUCCAGCAGAGGUGGAAGCGCGAGGCGUCCCACGCGACGAGGUUGGCCAUGGCGCCCGCGGUCGAGUUGCGCUGGCCGUGCGCACAGUCGUACCCGAGAUCAGAGAGGGAGGUGACAAGUUGCGCACGGUGGCCGCGAUGAAUGAUCUCCUCAAGGCAAACGAUCGCCGGUCUCACCGACCGAAUGUAAGCGACAAUGCGGUCGAAGCGGUUGUCCCAGCGUGUCUGCUCCGGCUGCUCGGAAGGCUCCUCGCGCGGGUUGUGGAUGUUCCACUGCAUGACAACGAUGGGCUUGUCGGCGAGCGCGGCCGCUUCGAGCGCUUCAACAGAGACAUGGAGAUUUUGGUGCUGCAUGCUGAAAAAAAAGGAG